CCAUAUUGUAUUAGCAGUCGUCGAUAUCCCCAAAGUCCCAAACCCCUAAAUCUCCUCUGACGCGUCUCCGCCCAUCUCUGACCAAAAUUUCCACCGUCUUUCAGCCAUAAAACGUCCACUAAAACACCAUGCAAAAGACCAUCUUCUUCCCCUGUUAAACCAGCAUCGAUUGCUCGGAGAAAACCCAUAUUUCAAUCUCUUUGUUAGAGAAAACGAAAUUGUGUAAAAACCUUUUUGGCGAUAUUCGACUGCUCGAAGAAUAAAUUUCUGAAAUUUUUUGGCGUCUGAAACUCCAAGGAAGCAAAGAAACUAACAUCAUUCCACGACUUAGGAUUGAGCGGGUGAAAUCACAGGUGACUGUUUGUUCUUUUCCUUAACAAUUUCCUCAAGUUUGGUGUUUGAAGAAUCCCUUUCUCCGGCUUUUUAAGAGGUUGUUGGGACUGGAUUUGGGAUCUUCUAAUAUUUUAGCAGCUCUUGGUGACGUUAAUAUACAUCAGCAAAUCAGAAAAUCAGAAUUCUUCAUUUCUGUUAGAUAGAGUCAUGAAUCAGGAAGGGCACUCAAGUAAAAACAAAAAAGCUAAAAAUUGCAUUGCAGCCAGAUCACUUGCAUCUUUGCUGAACCAAAAAGUUUCAUCGUUGAAAACAAAAAGAGUUGUUCAAGCUACAAGGACAAAUGACAAGCAUCAUCUGAAUUUAAUUGAAAAACAACUUCAGCGAUUAGGAGCUCAAGUGGAAUAUCAAUUGUUGCAACUGCCUCAGCCUUCUGCUUCUCCUCCAACACAAACUGUACAUGAACAUGUGCAGUAAAAGUCACAGAACUCUACCUCUCUUGCAUCACAAGCAAUGCGUGAACAAUUGCAGCAACUGCCACUGGAUUCCACCACUCGUACUUCACAAAUUAUACAUGAACAAUUUGAGGAUUCUUCCAAUCAUGAAACAAACGAACAAUCCGAGGAACAAAUCAAGAACAUAUAAAUUUUAUUUCAUUAAAUUAACAAACAAUAUGGACGUGAUAUAUGGUGAUUAUUCUUACUUAAUAUUAAUGCAGGUCCUUCUGCCGAAAAAUGAAAAAGAAGAAAAACUCUGAUGCCAAGUGUUGCAUGGUAGGAAAGAGCGCAAGCUAAUUGUGCUAAACGAGAACAAUCAACCCAUAGGUCCUACUGAUGAUGUUGUAGCAGAGUUGGGUAGCUACCUCGGCACAUUAGCAAGGAAUGCGGCCUUUUGUCCUCUUAAUGUGUUUAAUUGGAGGAAACUUUAAACAAAAGAAAAUAUGUGGAAAUAUAUCAAGGGAAAAUAUGAUAUUCCUGAUGCUGCAAAAAGUGGGUUUUUGAAUCAAUUCAGAAUGCUUGGAGAAAGUAUAAGAAUCAACUGCUUAACGACCAUUAUAAAGCCUAUGAGAAUGACGAGCUUCGGAUGGAGAAAAGGCCGGUUGAUAUUCCUGAAUCUCAAUUUAGGGAUCUUCUUAAUUAUUGGAACUCUGAUGCCUACAAGAAAAUGUCCCAAACCAAUACCGAGAAUCGCAAAAAUUUGAAAUAUCCACACACUGCUGGCAAAAGAAGUUUUGCUCGAAUAUGUGAGGAAAAAAAGAAAGAAACUUCUGAGUCUCUUUCAAGCAGGGACGUCUUUCUGGCUACAAGAAAAAGAAAAGUUGAUCGAGUAUACAAAGCCUCGUAUGCGGAUACUCUUAAUAAAAUUGUACGAGUUAUUAAUUUAAAGUUUGUUGUUAUCAUUUGUCUGUUCUUAAUUAUUGACUCAGUUUCAUAUACUUUCUGUUUUAAUAAUUACUCAAUUCGGUCUUUGUUA
Nicotiana tabacum (common tobacco) is the source of this 1803-nucleotide long non-coding RNA. RefSeq lists it as uncharacterized. The record is from RefSeq and is a predicted model, not a curated record. Lineage: Eukaryota; Viridiplantae; Streptophyta; Magnoliopsida; Solanales; Solanaceae.